GUCAAGUUUAAAGGUGUAAAAACAAGUACAGGAUAUUUACAAUAAGCAGACCUCAGUGCAAGAAAGUGUCUUUCCAACACUGAAAAGGUCAAAGGUCAACUUUAAAGGUGUAAAAACAAGUACAGGAUAUUUACAAUAAGCAGACCUCAGUGCAAGAAAGUGUCUUUCCAACACUGAAAAGGUCAAAGGUCAAGUUUAAAGGUGUAAAAACAAGUACAGGAUAUUUACAAUAAGCAGACCUCAGUGCAAGAAAGUGUCUUUCCAACACUGAAAAGGUCAAAGGUGAACUUUAAAGUUAAAAGGUACAAAAACAAGUACAGGAUAUUUACAAUAAGCAGACCUCAGUGCAAGAAAGUGUCUUUCCAACACUGAAAAGGUUAAAGGUCAAGUUUAAAGGUGUAAAAACAAGUACAAGAUAUUUACAAUAAGCAGACCUCAGUGCAAGAAAGUGUCUUUCCAACACUGAAAAGGUCAAAGGUCAACUUUAAAGGUGUAAAAACAAGUACAGGAUAUUUACAAUAAGCAGACCUCAGUGCAAGAAAGUGUCUUUCCAACA
Molecule: long non-coding RNA, 556 nt
Organism: Oreochromis aureus
Lineage: Eukaryota; Metazoa; Chordata; Actinopteri; Cichliformes; Cichlidae
Source: Ensembl